RNAcentral lists this ribosomal RNA (458 nucleotides) under uncultured bacterium. RNAcentral's name for it is "partial 16S ribosomal RNA". It matches the Rfam family "Bacterial small subunit ribosomal RNA", at positions 28 to 522 of the family's 1533-position model. The record is from RNAcentral.
GAUGAAUGCUGGCGGCGUGCUUAACACAUGCAAGUCGAGCGGUAAGGCCCUUCGGGGUACACGAGCGGCGGACGGCUGAGUAACGCGUGGGAACAUGCCCUAAAGUGAGGAAUAACUGCCCGAAAGGGUGGCUAAUGCCGCAUAUGAUCUUCGGAUUAAAGGAUUUAUCCGCUUUAGGAGUGGCCUGCGUACGAUUAGCUUGUUGGUGAGGUAAUGGCUUACCAAGGCGUCGAUCGUUAGCUGGUCUGAGAGGAUGACCAGCCAGACUGGAACUGAGACACGGUCCAGACUCCUACGGGAGGCGGCAGUGAGGAAUCUUCCACAAUGGGCGAAAGCCUGAUGGAGCAACGCCGCGUGCAGGAUGAAGGCCCUCGGGUCGUAAACUGCUUUUAUGAGUGAAGAAUAUGACGGUAACUCAUGAAUAAGCACCGGCUAACUACGUGCCAGCAGCCGCGGUA